AAAGCUCGUAGUUGAAUUUCUGGACGCGGAGGGUGGUCCGCCCCUCACGGGGUGUGUACUUUUUCUCUGCGUCCAUCCUCGGGGUGAACAUGUCUGGGGUUAAAUCACCGGGCAUGGGACCCUCGUCAUUUACUGUGAGCAAAAUAGAGUGUUCAAAGCAGGCUUAGGCCGUUAAUACGUUAGCAUGGAU
RNAcentral lists this ribosomal RNA (190 nucleotides) under uncultured heterokont. RNAcentral describes it as "partial 18S ribosomal RNA". The record is from RNAcentral.